Molecule: ribosomal RNA, 253 nt
Filed under: uncultured bacterium
Lineage: Bacteria
Description: partial 16S ribosomal RNA
Rfam family: Bacterial small subunit ribosomal RNA
Source: RNAcentral
UACGUAGGUGGCAAGCGUUGUCCGGAAUUAUUGGGCGUAAAGCGCGCGCAGGCGGUCCUUUAAGUCUGAUGUGAAAGCCCACGGCUCAACCGUGGAAGGUCAUUGGAAACUGGAGGACUUGAGUACAGAAGAGGAAAGCGGAAUUCCACGUGUAGCGGUGAAAUGCGUAGAGAUGUGGAGGAACACCAGUGGCGAAGGCGGCUUUCUGGUCUGUAACUGACGCUGAGGCAUGAAAGCGUGGGGAGCAAACAGG